Xenopus tropicalis (tropical clawed frog) is the source of this 119-nucleotide ribosomal RNA. NCBI's taxonomy places the organism in Eukaryota, Metazoa, Chordata, Amphibia, Anura, Pipidae. The record is from Ensembl.
GCCAACGGCCAUACCACCCUGAAAGCGCCCGAUCUCGUCUGAUCUCGGAAGCUAAGCAGGGACGGGCUUGGUUAGUACCUGGAUGGGAGACCGCCUGGGAAUACCAGGUGUUGUAGGCU